AACGAACGCUGGCGGCAGGCCUAACACAUGCAAGUCGAGCGAGGACUUCGGUCCUAGCGGCGGACGGGUGAGUAACGCGUGGGAACGUGCCCUUUGCUUCGGAAUAGCCCUGGGAAACUGGGAGUAAUACCGGAUGAGCCCUUUGGGGGAAAGAUUUAUCGACGAAGGAUCGGCCCGCGUUGGAUUAGGUAGUUGGUGGGGUAAUGGCCUACCAAGCCGACGAUCCAUAGCUGGUUGGAGAGGAUGAUCAGCCACACUGGGACUGAGACACGGCCCAGACUCCUACGGGAGGCAGCAGUGGGGAAUCUUAGACAAUGGGGGAAACCCUGAUCUAGCCAUGCCGCGUGAGCGAUGAAGGCCUUAGGGUUGUAAAGCUCUUUCAGCUGGGAAGAUAAUGACGGUACCAGCAGAAGAAGCCCCGGCUAACUCCGUG
This 433-nucleotide ribosomal RNA is filed under the name uncultured bacterium. RNAcentral's name for it is "partial 16S ribosomal RNA". It matches the Rfam family "Bacterial small subunit ribosomal RNA", at positions 29 to 507 of the family's 1533-position model. The record is from RNAcentral.